Molecule: ribosomal RNA, 254 nt
Filed under: uncultured bacterium
Lineage: Bacteria
Description: partial 16S ribosomal RNA
Rfam family: Bacterial small subunit ribosomal RNA
Source: RNAcentral
UACGUAGGUGGCAAGCGUUGUCCGGAUUUACUGGGCGUAAAGAGCGCGCAGGCGGUCGUUCAAGUCGCGUGUGAAAGCCCCCGGCUCAACUGGGGAGGGUCACGCGAUACUGAUCGACUCGAAGGCAGGAGAGGGAAGUGGAAUUCCCGGUGUAGUGGUGAAAUGCGUAGAUAUCGAGAGGAACACCUGCGGCGAAGGCGGGUUGCUGGGCUGACACUGACGCUGAGGCGCGAAAGCCAGGGGAGCGAACGGGG